Molecule: ribosomal RNA, 473 nt
Filed under: uncultured bacterium
Lineage: Bacteria
Description: bacterial SSU rRNA
Rfam family: Bacterial small subunit ribosomal RNA
Source: RNAcentral
GACAAACGCUGGCGGCGUGCUUAACACAUGCAAGUCGAACGGACGAGUGAGAUAAGUUUACUUAACUCACAAGUUAGUGGCGGACGGGUGAGUAACACGUGGAUAAUCUACCUGCAACACCGGGAUAACGCUGUGAAAACGGUGCUAAUACCGGAUACGUUCCCUUGUGCGCAUGUAUGAGGGAAGAAAGCUCAGGCGGUUGCAGAUGAGUCCGCGGCUGAUUAGCUAGUUGGUGAGGUAAAGGCUCACCAAGGCGAUGAUCAGUAGCCGGCCUGAGAGGGUGAACGGCCACACUGGGACUGAGACACGGCCCAGACUCCUACGGGAGGCAGCAGUGGGGAAUCUUCCGCAAUGGGCGCAAGCCUGACGGAGCAACGCCGCGUGGGUGAAGAAGGCCUUCGGGUUGUAAAGCCCUGUCUUAUGGGAAGAAGUCAGUGACGGUACCAUAGGAGGAAGCCACGGCUAACUACGUG